GCCCGUUAAUGGGUGAUGGCGUGCCUUUUGUAGAAUGAACCGGCGAGUUACGAUUUGAUGCAAGGUUAAGCAGUAAAUGUGGAGCCGUAGCGAAAGCGAGUCUGAAUAGGGCGUUUAGUAUUUGGUCGUAGACCCGAAACCAGGUGAUCUACCCUUGGUCAGGUUGAAGUUCAGGUAACACUGAAUGGAGGACCGAACCGACUUACGUUGAAAAGUGAGCGGAUGAACUGAGGGUAGCGGAGAAAUUCCAAUCGAACCUGGAGAUAGCUGGUUCUCUCCGAAAUAGCUUUAGGGCUAGCCUCAAGUGAUGAUUAUUGGAGGUAGAGCACUGUUUGGACGAGGGGCCCCUCUCGGGUUACCGAAUUCAGACAAACUCCGAAUGCCAAUUAAUUUAACUUGGGAGU
Molecule: ribosomal RNA, 404 nt
Filed under: Staphylococcus aureus
Lineage: Bacteria; Bacillati; Bacillota; Bacilli; Caryophanales; Staphylococcaceae
Description: partial 23S ribosomal RNA
Rfam family: Bacterial large subunit ribosomal RNA
Source: RNAcentral